Molecule: non-coding RNA, 112 nt
Organism: Triticum urartu
Lineage: Eukaryota; Viridiplantae; Streptophyta; Magnoliopsida; Poales; Poaceae
Source: Rfam
GCCCUCUCCGAUGGUGAUAUCAUGUCCCACAUCCUCGCCGGCCUUGAUCUCGACUACAACCCCGUCGUCUCCGCCCUUGCUGCCCAUGUGGAACCAGUCACGGUGCAAGAGC